GGAGGCGGCGCCCGACACCAGGCUGCAGACAACCAGCGGCAGGAUGAUCAUGCGCAGCAUGCGGAGCAGCAUCUCGCCGGGGAAGGACAGGAGUCCUGUACGAGAAAGCACGCCGGGGUGCCCAGCGCGGGCCUGGCCCUGAGACGGAAGAUGGAUGAUGGAUGGAUGAAUUAGAAAAACGAUAAGGGCUCUGACAAAGCCUCAGCUGAUACACAUGACCAAUGACGCUUAUACUCAGUGUCCACAACUAUAGUGAACCUAGGCUUAGAUGUACUUCCUGGCUACUGACCUGAACCACAGCAGAUUUUCCUCCUACUUAAGAAAGAAUGUUGGCCUGCAAGGUCCUCCAACUCAGUCUGGACUCAACCAUAUGAUUUUCUUUAGCCAAUGGGUAUACCUGACCCAAGGCAAGCAGAAGUUUGAAAUAGGCUUACACAUUAGGCUUUUCUCUUGUGCCAUUGUCAUCAGAACAUGCCUGGGAGGAAGAGAGACACACGGAGCACAGCUGAGUCCUCAGUCAUCAUAGCAGAGUUCAUCCUCGAUCAACUACCAGCCAGACUACCCCAAACGUGGAAGUGGAACCAGCCAGUCAGUUGAGCUGUCUAGCCGCUCCCUACCACCACUCCGAGAAAUACGAGCAAUAAAAACCACUGUUGUGUGCCAUGAAAAUUUUGUGGUUCUUUGUUACAGUGUUAGUCCAAAUCCACUAAGCAGCAGAUGCUGAGAUGGAAGAAAACAUACAAGGAUUUUAUGCAGGAGUAGCAAUGUGAGAGAAAAAAAGUGUGGAGGGAACUGCGCCCCAGGACAGCUGUCAGAAGACAACGCAAGUCUGACCCAGAUGAAGGAAGGAGAGAAGGAAAGUUGGGUAGACGAGUCUGCCAUGCAGUCUAAGGGAAAUUCAGCCUCAGCUAUGGUGGCCACCAUGUGCAACCUGCAAACAUUGGAUUAUUUCAUUAUAUUCCCUGUGUGAUCAUUCCCAGGUAUUUACUCACAAUAAAAACAUAUAUUAUUUUAGGGGGCGCCUGGGUGGCUCAGUGGGUUAAAGCCUCUGCCUUCAGCUCAGGUCGUGAUUCCAGGAUCCUGGGAUUGAGCCCCACAUCGGAAUCUCUGCUCAGUGGGGAGCCUGCUUCCUCCUCUCUCUCUGCAUGCCU
Molecule: long non-coding RNA, 1151 nt
Organism: Mustela lutreola (European mink)
Lineage: Eukaryota; Metazoa; Chordata; Mammalia; Carnivora; Mustelidae
Exons: 4
Source: RefSeq, a predicted model, not a curated record